AUUGUAGUCUGCAACUCGACUACAUGAAGCUGGAAUCGCUAGUAAUCGUAGAUCAGCAUGCUACGGUGAAUACGUUCCCGGGUCUUGUACACACCGCCCGUCACACCACGAGAGUUUGUAACACCCGAAGCCGGUGGAGUAACCAUUUUGGAGCUAGCCGUCGAAGGUGGGACAAAUGAUUGGGGUGAAGUCGUAACAAGGUAGCCGUAUCGGAAGGUGCGGCUGGAUCACCUCCUUUCUAAGGA
RNAcentral lists this ribosomal RNA (245 nucleotides) under Staphylococcus pseudintermedius. RNAcentral's name for it is "partial 16S ribosomal RNA". It matches the Rfam family "Bacterial small subunit ribosomal RNA", at positions 1297 to 1533 of the family's 1533-position model. The record is from RNAcentral. Lineage: Bacteria; Bacillati; Bacillota; Bacilli; Caryophanales; Staphylococcaceae.